This 241-nucleotide ribosomal RNA is filed under the name uncultured bacterium. Its description in RNAcentral is "partial 16S ribosomal RNA". It matches the Rfam family "Bacterial small subunit ribosomal RNA", at positions 524 to 765 of the family's 1533-position model. The record is from RNAcentral.
UACGUAGGGGGCAAGCGUUGUCCGGAUUAUUGGGCGUAAAGAGCGUGUAGGCGGUUUGGUAGGUCCGUUGUGAAAACUCGAGGCUCAACCUCGAGACGCCGGCGGAAACCAUCAGGCUAGAGUCCGGAAGAGGAGAGUGGAAUUCCUGGUGUAGCGGUGAAAUGCGCAGAUAUCAGGAAGAACACCUAUGGCGAAGGCAGCUCUCUGGGACGGUACUGACGCUGAGACGCGAAAGCGUGGG